AUGAACGAGGGUGAACAGAGUGGCCGGGGACUCAAAGGGGGGACCCCUUCAGUCCUCCGCCAUUCACUUUCCCCUGUAGCCACACACCCCCCUUUAUAUUCCGCUUCACGUGGGGUGCGGGGCAGGAGGGAGGAGAGCCCGAGAGGGGGAGGGGAAGUCAAGGGAGGAAAAGCGAGAAAUGCCCACCUUCUUUGGCCAACUCCGGAGCCACCUCAGCCCCCUCCUCCCGCCGCGGCGGCGGCCGCUGCAAAAAGCCCUCCCGGCUCGCCCUGCACGAAAGGCAGCGCGGAGCGAGUGUCGCCUGGCCCUCGCCACCCCCCGGCGCCGCGGCCGCCGGCGAGCCCCGAGCUCAGUGUCGCUCAAACCUCCCCUGCCGGCCCCGCCGGCCCCGCUCCGCCCUCCCCCCGCGCCCCGCGGACCCUUUCAAACCCCCUGGGCUCGCGGCGGUUGCUCCGGGAGGAAACUCUGGCCGCGGCUGGGGCCGGGGCGGUGCGGCUGCGAGCGGGGCGGCGGCGGCGGCGGCGGCGGCGGUGGGGCGCCCGGUACGGUGAGCCCAGCAACGAGGCGCGGGCGGGCGCGCAGAGACGCCGAGUCCUCGCGGAGCACGGCCGGGGCGCGGCGGCGGCGACGGCGGCGGUGGUGGUGGUGGUGGUGGCAGCGGGAGCCCAGGGACCGCUCCAUCACUGGCAGCCAUGGAGCCCGAGCAUUUUCCUCCCUCGGGGCAGGCGCUCGGCUCGGCACUCGUCCUCGGGGAGGAAGGGGCCGGCGCCCGAGCUCGUCGGAGGGCGGCGGGACGUGCGCGGGAGCGGAGGGUGCGAGCCUCGGGUCCUCUUCCUCGGCAGCCGGCUCGUCCUCACCCCGCUGAUUUCGCGGCCGGGCGGGAGGGGGGCUGCGGGCGGCGGCGGCUCCUUUCUCGGCGGCGUUGGUGGCCAGACGGGCUGGUGCAGCGACUGCAGCCGACGCCGUUCAAAGGAACGAGAGGUCAGAGCCAAAAGCCAGAUAAGAAGCCAAAGGGACAAUUUCACUGAAAAGCUCCUGCCCUUGCCAAAUGCUGCCUUUCCAUAGGAAGACUUCCCUUGACCACUCUGUCUUGAGGGAGUUGGCAUUUGCCAGCAGCUGGUAG
Long non-coding RNA from Castor canadensis (American beaver), 1123 nucleotides. Lineage: Eukaryota; Metazoa; Chordata; Mammalia; Rodentia; Castoridae. The record is from Ensembl.